This 72-nucleotide transfer RNA is filed under the name Ovis aries (sheep). It matches the Rfam family "tRNA". Rfam says of the family: Transfer RNA (tRNA) molecules are approximately 80 nucleotides in length. The record is from Rfam by way of RNAcentral. Lineage: Eukaryota; Metazoa; Chordata; Mammalia; Artiodactyla; Bovidae.
UCCCUAGUGGCUCAGAGGGUAAAGCAUCUGCCUGCAAUGCAGGAGAUCCGGGUUCGAAGAUCCCCUGGAGAA